Lonchura striata (white-rumped munia) is the source of this 462-nucleotide non-coding RNA. The record is from RefSeq and is a predicted model, not a curated record. NCBI's taxonomy places the organism in Eukaryota, Metazoa, Chordata, Aves, Passeriformes, Estrildidae.
GCUAGAGCAGAGCAAGGUGAAAGGGAGAUGCACGGCUGGCCUGGGAGAGGGGACGGAGCUGGUUAGGGCUGGGGAGGAGGAUGGCAGGCUGCAGUAGGGCUGGGCUGGGCAGAUGAGCUGCUGCAGGGAGGGAAGGUCUCUGUGGAGGUGGCGAAGGAGGGUCAGCACUGCAGGGAGGAAGGAAGAGAGCAGAGGAACGUGGGGAGGAGGAGAAGGCGUCUCUGCCUUGAGAUGGAGAUGACAGAGUAUUCCCGGUCCUGACUGGUGCAAGCGGUGAAGCUGAAAUCUGAGCUGCUCAGGCUUUCCCAAGAAGGACUGGGGGAGUGUCUUGGGUUUUUAGCUUGGCUGCGUGGGUGUGCAUAAUGAACCGGAAUUCUGCUGUGCUUGGCUACCUCGGGGACUCGUUUUAAUCACCGGGCAAAUGUGCUGUGUGUAGGAGAAAUACUUAAUUUCAUGCCACGA